Molecule: ribosomal RNA, 253 nt
Filed under: uncultured bacterium
Lineage: Bacteria
Description: partial 16S ribosomal RNA
Rfam family: Bacterial small subunit ribosomal RNA
Source: RNAcentral
UACGUAGGUGGCAAGCGUUGUCCGGAAUUAUUGGGCGUAAAGCGCGCGCAGGCGGUCCUUUAAGUCUGAUGUGAAAGCCCACGGCUCAACCGUGGAGGGUCAUUGGAAACUGGGGGACUUGAGUGCAGGAGAGAAGAGUGGAAUUCCACGUGUAGCGGUGAAAUGCGUAGAUAUCGGGAGGAACACCAGUGGCGAAGGCGACUACCUGGCCUGUUCGUGACGCUGAGGCGCGAAAGCUAGGGGAGCAAACGGG